GGUUUAGAGUAUUAGGUUGUGAUCCUAAAAGUCACGGGUUCAAAUCCCGUUAUUUG
Molecule: transfer RNA, 56 nt
Filed under: Extubocellulus spinifer
Lineage: Eukaryota; Bacillariophyta; Thalassiosirophyceae; Cymatosirales; Cymatosiraceae
Description: partial tRNA
Rfam family: tRNA
About the family: Transfer RNA (tRNA) molecules are approximately 80 nucleotides in length.
Source: RNAcentral